CCUACGGGAGACAGCAGUGGGGGAUAUUGCACAAUGGGGGGAACCCUGAUGCAGCGACGCCGCGUGGGUGAAGAAGCGCCUCGGCGCGUAAAGCCCUGUCAGCAGGGAAGAAAAUGACGGUACCUGAAGACGAAGCCCCGGCUAACUACGUGCCAGCAGCCGCUGUAAUACGUAGGGGGCAAGCGGUAUCCGGAUUUACUGGGUGUAAAGGGGGCGCAGACGGCGAUGCAAGCCAGGAGGGAAAGCCCUGGGCCCAACCCCGGGACUGCUCUUGGAACUGCGUGGCUGGAGUGCAGGAGGGGCAGGCGGAAUGCGUGGUGUAGCGGUGAAAUGCGUAGAUAUCAGGAAGAACGCCGGUGGCGAAGGCGGCAUGCUGGCCUGCAACUGACGUUGAGGCACGAAAGCGUGGGGAGCAAACAGGAUUAGAUACCCUUGUAGUC
Molecule: ribosomal RNA, 440 nt
Filed under: uncultured bacterium
Lineage: Bacteria
Description: partial 16S ribosomal RNA
Rfam family: Bacterial small subunit ribosomal RNA
Source: RNAcentral